UAUAAACACUAGAUGGCUCAUGGGAGAUUUUCCAGCGUAGCUCACCGGCCGCCAUCUUGCUACAGUCAACAGCUACUCUGGUACGCGCUAUGGUAGCUGUUGUAAGAAGUACCUGACUAUGCCGGACUUUUGUGCAGCCUACGGAUGCUCUAAUCGCCGCAGUCUGGAAACAAGAACCCGUGGAAUCACCUUUCACGUGUUUCCCAAAACCGGAGAGAGGAGGAGGCAGUGGGAAGCUGCCCUAAGAAGGCAGGACACUGCUCUGCAGUGAGCACUUCAGUUGUGAGGACUUUGACAAGACGGGGCAGACUGUCCGGCUUAAAGAUGGUGUUGUGCCAACAGUAUUCAACUUCCCAGCUCAUCUUCAAAGGCCGGAAGCAACAAGAAGCACAACCACUUCUAGAAGAGCGGAAGAUGAACCUCAGCCUAAUGUUGUGAGUAUUCUGAAUGUGGCCAAGACCAGAGAGAUGGUCAUUGAUUUCAGGAGGGUGAGGACGUCUCCUCUGCCCCUGUGCAUUCUGGGAGAGGAUGUGGCUGUUGUGGAGGACUACAAAUACCUGGGAGUGCACUUA
Molecule: long non-coding RNA, 572 nt
Organism: Trematomus bernacchii (emerald rockcod)
Lineage: Eukaryota; Metazoa; Chordata; Actinopteri; Perciformes; Nototheniidae
Exons: 4
Source: RefSeq, a predicted model, not a curated record